AGUGAACGCUGGCGGUAGGCCUAACACAUGCAAGUCGAACGGCAGCACAGUAAGAGCUUGCUCUUACGGGUGGCGAGUGGCGGACGGGUGAGGAAUACAUCGGAAUCUACUUUUUCGUGGGGGAUAACGUAGGGAAACUUACGCUAAUACCGCAUACGACCUACGGGUGAAAGCAGGGGAUCUUCGGACCUUGCGCGAUUGAAUGAGCCGAUGUCGGAUUAGCUAGUUGGCGGGGUAAAGGCCCACCAAGGCGACGAUCCGUAGCUGGUCUGAGAGGAUGAUCAGCCAGACUGGAACUGAGACACGGUCCAGACUCCUGCGGGAGGCAGCAGUGGGGAAUAUUGGACAAUGGGCGCAAGCCUGAUCCAGCCAUACCGCGUGGGUGAAGAAGGCCUUCGGGUUGUAAAGCCCUUUUGUUGGGAAAGAAAAGCAGCAGGUUAAUACCCCGCUGUUCUGACGGUACCCAAAGAAUAAGCACCGGCUAACUUCGUG
RNAcentral lists this ribosomal RNA (492 nucleotides) under uncultured bacterium. Its description in RNAcentral is "partial 16S ribosomal RNA". It matches the Rfam family "Bacterial small subunit ribosomal RNA", at positions 29 to 507 of the family's 1533-position model. The record is from RNAcentral.